CCUACGGGAGGCAGCAGUGGGGAAUUUUGGACAAUGGGCGCAAGCCUGAUCCAGCAAUGCCGCGUGAGUGAAGAAGGCCUUCGGGUUGUAAAGCUCUUUUGUCAGGGAAGAAACGGUGGGAGCUAAUAUCUCCCGCUAAUGACGGUACCUGAAGAAUAAGCACCGGCUAACUACGUGCCAGCAGCCGCGGUAAUACGUAGGGUGCAAGCGUUAAUCGGAAUUACUGGGCGUAAAGCGUGCGCAGGCGGUUUUGUAAGUCUGUCGUGAAAGCCCCGGGCUCAACCUGGGAAUUGCGAUGGAGACUGCAAGGCUUGAAUCUGGCAGAGGGGGGUAGAAUUCCACGUGUAGCAGUGAAAUGCGUAGAGAUGUGGAGGAACACCGAUGGCGAAGGCAGCCCCCUGGGUCAAGAUUGACGCUCAUGCACGAAAGCGUGGGGAGCAAACAGGAUUAGAUACCCUGGUAGUCCACGCCCUAAACGAUGUCUACUAGUUGUCGGGUUUUAAUUAACUUGGUAACGCAGCUAACGCGUGAAGUAGACCGCCUGGGGAGUACGGUCGCAAGNUUAAAACGCAAAGGAAUUGACGGCNGAGAGNGACGAGACGACGACGAGGAGGAGG
This 617-nucleotide ribosomal RNA is filed under the name uncultured bacterium. RNAcentral's name for it is "bacterial SSU rRNA". It matches the Rfam family "Bacterial small subunit ribosomal RNA", at positions 338 to 947 of the family's 1533-position model. The record is from RNAcentral.